UCUUGUUGGUGAGAAACGGAGCUAAAGACCUCUACUCUCCUUUCGAAGUAGUAGUCGAAUUACUAAGGCAAUUGGUUACGAACAACCAGUCAUAAAUCGAUUUGGAGAUGCCAAUUCACAGUGCUCAUAAAAAUAAAGGCAGUAACCAAGUGUUUGAAGCGCCGUUACUAAAAUAUAUCAAUGAAAGGGAAGCAUAAUCACAGUGUGUAGGAUCAGCAGAAGCUUUGAAAGAAUUGAGACCUCUUCAGGAGACCAAAAAAAGGAUUUUGACGUAUGACAUCAGUACAAGCAAUGGGACUUAAUGAAGAGAAAUUUGAUCUAGAUAUAAGUUUACUUGCAAAUAACAGUAUCAACCCAAAUCUUAUUACUGUUUAUUACCUGACUGUUGGCUGAAGCAGCAUCAUGGCAAUAUGAAAUGUUGAUAGUUUGAUUUCUUGUGAUAAUGGCCCUUAAGCAUAGUUUUUUUUUCUAAGUGUAUUUGAUAUUAUUGCCUACACUUAGGUUAUGAGGGAGCCUUUGUCAUGGAAAUUUAUUUAUUUCUUGUUUCAUAACAUGUAUAAUUAUUUAUUCCUAAUAAAUCUCUGUUCACUAUAGUAUACAGUAUAUAAUGAA
Long non-coding RNA from Macrobrachium nipponense, 612 nucleotides. RefSeq lists it as uncharacterized. NCBI's taxonomy places the organism in Eukaryota, Metazoa, Arthropoda, Malacostraca, Decapoda, Palaemonidae. The transcript has 4 exons. The record is from RefSeq and is a predicted model, not a curated record.